ACGUAGGAGGCAAACGUUAUCCGGAUUUACUGGGCGUAAAGCGCGUGUAGGUGGUUUGGUAAGUAGAGCGUGAAAGCUCCUGGCUCAACUGGGAGAGGUCGUUCUAAACUGCCGGUCUAGAGGAUGGUAGAGGGAGGUGGAAUUCCGGGUGUAGCGGUGAAAUGCGCAGAGAUCCGGAGGAACACCAGUGGCGAAGGCGGCUUCCUGGACCACUCCUGACGCUCAGGCGCGAAAGCGAGGGUAGCAAACGG
RNAcentral lists this ribosomal RNA (251 nucleotides) under uncultured prokaryote. RNAcentral describes it as "partial 16S rRNA". It matches the Rfam family "Bacterial small subunit ribosomal RNA", at positions 525 to 775 of the family's 1533-position model. The record is from RNAcentral.